AUGAAGCCCCCGAUUUCUAAACGACCCUGCCGGAGAGGCUGGAAGUCGUCGCCGGAAUCAGCACUGCCUUUACCCUCCGGCAGUAGCAGUAGCAGCUUCAUCCCCGAUGAAAUAAUCUUCUUCGAGAUACUGGUACUUCUUCCGGUCAAGUCCCUCCUGCGCUUCCAAGCCGUGUGCAAGUCAUGGCGCGCCACAUUAACCAGCACCCCUUUCGUCCGCAGGCACCUGGAGCUCUCAAGGUCGACCAUGGUCGUGGUGCCGCGCAAGUACCAGGCCUCUCGAUUCCUCAACGUCUUCAGCUUCCAGCCAGGCGAAAGCAAGUGCGCCGAGCUGAUGGUCCGAAAGGAGUUUCAGCCGCAUGGGAUCCCGGCGUUCAGCAUUCCUCUCCACUGCGACGGCCUCAUCUUGAUCCCUGCCUUAAUGGGGACAAUUUUCAUCUGCAACCCGGCCACUGGAGAGUUUGUUGAGUUGCCACCUGGAAGCCCCAGCCUUCUCCAUGAACACAGGGUGGCCUUUGGCUUUGAUCCCUGGAGUGGUACCUACAAGGUGGCCAGGCACUUCAUCCGCUCCUACAGAGAUAUUCCACAAAUGGAUGUGGAAGAAGGAGGCACCACCACCACCACGAGUAGAGAAUACAGCUGCGGACAUGAGAUGUUGACAUUCGGUGGCGACGUCGGCAAGGAACAAGCAGCUUGGGUAUGGAAGGCCACCGUGGAUCCGCCGUACCCUAUCAAGGCCAGGACCCCGAUUUGUCUCCCGGGGGCCUUCUUUUGGAGUGCUCUCAAGUCCAUGCUACUACCUGCAAAGGUUAUCUCGAACGUCAUCCUUCGAUUCAGUUUACUUGAUGAAACAUUUACGGUGCACCCUAACCCUCCAUGCAGCGAUAUUCUAGGCAGGAACGAUUCACUAUGUGCGCUAGGUGAAAAGUUAUGCUAUAUCCACUCUACCUCACCGUGGGACAUUUCCAUUUGGUUGGCGGAGGAUGGACCAAAUCUGGCUUGGUCACUAUGCCGCCGAGUCUGCCUGCCGAUACCAAGAAUGCUUCUUGCCUUUGCUUGCGCCUCGACUGACCGGGACAAGAUAUUCAUCUCCGUUGAUGCGUGCAUCCUUCUCCGGUGUGAUCUCCGUGACGGAUCCCUUGAAGAAAUAAUCAACAUGCCACGUGACAUGCUGUAUGAUCUCCGGAACGGCAGAAAAAUCAACAUUGGUGCGCUCUUUGUUGCCCACUACACGGUGCCAUAUGUGGAAUCACUCCUGCGCAUCAGGCCUUCGAGAUAA
RNAcentral lists this ribosomal RNA (1278 nucleotides) under Triticum aestivum (bread wheat). RNAcentral describes it as "partial small subunit ribosomal RNA". Lineage: Eukaryota; Viridiplantae; Streptophyta; Magnoliopsida; Poales; Poaceae. The record is from RNAcentral.